GGUUCCGUGGUGUGGGGUUUAACAUGCCUGCCUGUCACGCAGGAGAUCGCGGGUUCAAAUCCCGUCGGGACCGCCA
RNAcentral lists this transfer RNA (76 nucleotides) under Listeria monocytogenes. RNAcentral describes it as "tRNA-Asp". It matches the Rfam family "tRNA". From Rfam's summary of the family: Transfer RNA (tRNA) molecules are approximately 80 nucleotides in length. Lineage: Bacteria; Bacillati; Bacillota; Bacilli; Caryophanales; Listeriaceae. The record is from RNAcentral.